AGCAGCCGCGGUAAUUCCAGCUCCAAUAGCGUAUAUUAAAGUUGUUGCAGUUAAAAAGCUCGUAGUUGAAUUUCGGGAUCAAUGUUUCGGUCAUGCCGUUGGUAUGUACUGAUAUUAUUGGUUUCUCACCUUCUAAAGAACCGUAAUGCCAUUAAUUUGGUGUCACGGGGAAUUAGGACUGUUACCUUGAAAAAAUUAGAGUGUUUAAAGCAGGCUCACGCUUGAAUACAUUAGCAUGGAAUAAUGAAAUAGGACAUCCGAUUCUAUUUUGUUGGUUUCUAGGAUCGAUGUAAUGAUUAAUAGGGAUAGUUGGGGGCAUUAGUAUCCAAUUGUCAGAGGUGAAAUUCUUGGAUUUAUUGAAGACUAACUACUGCGAAAGCAUUUGCCAAGGAUGUUUUCAUUAAUCAAGAACGAAAGUUAGGGGAUCGAAGACGAUCAGAUACCGUCGUAGUCUUAACCAUAAACUAUGCCGACUAGGGAUCGGAUGAUGUUAAUUUUUUAAUGUACUCAUUCGGCG
RNAcentral lists this ribosomal RNA (517 nucleotides) under uncultured Glomus. Its description in RNAcentral is "SSU rRNA". It matches the Rfam family "Eukaryotic small subunit ribosomal RNA", at positions 569 to 1085 of the family's 1831-position model. Lineage: Eukaryota; Fungi; Glomeromycota; Glomeromycetes; Glomerales; Glomeraceae. The record is from RNAcentral.